RNAcentral lists this non-coding RNA (25 nucleotides) under Rattus norvegicus (Norway rat). Lineage: Eukaryota; Metazoa; Chordata; Mammalia; Rodentia; Muridae. The record is from RNAcentral.
AUAGAGUUGGUGCCUCAAACUGUUC